CCUACGGGCGGCAGCAGUGGGGAAUAUUGGACAAUGGGCGAAAGCCUGAUCCAGCCAUGCCGCGUGUGUGAAGAAGGCCUUCGGGUUGUAAAGCACUUUCAGUGGGGAAGAAAGCCUUGGGGCUAAUACCCUCGAGGAAGGACAUCACCCACAGAAGAAGCAACGGCUAACUCCGUGCCAGCAGCCGCGGUAAUACGGAGGGUGCGAGCGUUAAUCGGAAUUACUGGGCGUAAAGCGCGCGUAGGCGGUCUGAUAAGCCGGUUGUGAAAGCCCCGGGCUCAACCUGGGAACGGCAUCCGGAACUGUCAGGCUAGAGUGCAGGAGAGGAAGGUAGAAUUCCCGGUGUAGCGGUGAAAUGCGUAGAGAUCGGGAGGAAUACCAGUGGCGAAGGCGGCCUUCUGGACUGACACUGACGCUGAGGUGCGAAAGCGUGGGUAGCAAACAGGAUUAGAUACCCUAGUAGUC
This 465-nucleotide ribosomal RNA is filed under the name Vreelandella stevensii. RNAcentral describes it as "partial 16S ribosomal RNA". It matches the Rfam family "Bacterial small subunit ribosomal RNA", at positions 338 to 795 of the family's 1533-position model. The record is from RNAcentral. Lineage: Bacteria; Pseudomonadati; Pseudomonadota; Gammaproteobacteria; Oceanospirillales; Halomonadaceae.